GGCCUGGCUGUUCGGUCCGCCUAACCGCGUGCACUGAUGCGGCCGGGCCUUUCCUUCUGGCUAACCUCAUGCCCUUUACUGGGUGUGCUGGGGAUCCAGGACUUUUACUUUGAAAAAAUUAGAGUGUUUAAAGCAGGCCUACGCUUGAAUACAUUAGCAUGGAAUAAUAGAAUAGGACUU
This 180-nucleotide ribosomal RNA is filed under the name uncultured Glomeromycotina. Its description in RNAcentral is "partial small subunit ribosomal RNA". The stretch from base 89 to 180 matches the Rfam family "Eukaryotic small subunit ribosomal RNA", at positions 736 to 830 of the family's 1831-position model. The record is from RNAcentral. Lineage: Eukaryota; Fungi; Glomeromycota.